Long non-coding RNA from Gallus gallus (chicken), 1791 nucleotides. RefSeq lists it as uncharacterized. NCBI's taxonomy places the organism in Eukaryota, Metazoa, Chordata, Aves, Galliformes, Phasianidae. The transcript has 3 exons. The record is from RefSeq and is a predicted model, not a curated record.
ACCUGUUCCCAGACUUCAUUGUGUCUUCAGCCUGCCAGAUGAAUACAGCAAACACUUUCAUUACCCUCACAGCUGCUACUCUCCUGCCAGGAGUACAGCAGCAGCUUUUCUGCUCCAAAGGAGGCCAGGAUAUAUUGCAGAAGCACUCACUGAAGCACACAGUUGCAGUGUGCCGUGGAGACCAGAGAUACUACUGCAUGUGAUCCAUCAAGUAACUACUGCACAUGGAUAUUGUCUCAAAAAGAGUGAUUGUAGAACUAUUUCCAAUACUUAUCUGUUUAAAGACUUCCAUCCAGGAUAAAGCAAACGUAGCACAGCUGCUUCUUCUGUCUGUGCUCAUCAUAUUGACUGUAAGUAGAUUAUUGUAAUUAUGACGGAAAUUGCAGGAACUUGCCUUCUAAUUGGAAUCAAAAUGGAAUUUACAAAACAAAUAUGUAACAAACAGUGCUUUCUCCAGUAGGAAAAUAAACUAAAUACAAUCUGUAUGGUGCUUCCAGAAGUUACUUAGUGUUGAUAAUAUGAGCAGAAAGGGAAGGCUUCUUCCUACUCUUUGUCUGCAAUGGACAACACACAGCUGUCCACUUGGAAGAGAGCUUAGCUGGGGAGUAAUGGCUCUUUUCUGCUGUAAAUCUAUUAACCUUGUCUGGUCAGUAGGAGUUGAAUGGAGAGAAAGCAACUGCUUUACUCUUCAUUUUAAAGGAUAUUUCAGACAGUGUGAGCAGUAUGGCAUCAAGAGGACUAGGAAGGAGAGCCAAUGGAACAGUAGAAAAUGGCAUAGAAAAGAAACUGAGGAAAGAGUUGGAGCAGUGUCUGAUCUGAUAAACCGAGUGAUAGUGGAGCACUUACUUCCUAUGGAGAUAUUGAAUACUAUAACAAACAGGUUUUUGUCAAUUAAGAGCUUUGUCGAAAAAAAAUAUAUACAUAUUUUAAACCAAACCUACUAGUGGAAGAUUCCUGUAUUCAGCAAUUUAGACCAGAAAGGAGUUUUCUCAGGCACAGACUCUGAGGAUCACAACAGGACUGCUACCAACAUAGCUGUGGAGCUGUGUAACAUCUUCCCUGCCUCUGAAGAUUGCCAUAUCAUGUCAUCACCUUCCUGUAUUUCUUGAAGGUGCCCAUAUCACUGGACUGUGAACAAAAUACACAUUUUCUUUAUAUUUCCUACUACUAGAGGAGUAGAUGUCUGACUCUGACCCAUCUGAGUGCUGAUCGGAGCAGCUGGCCAAAUGUACAGGACACACACUGAUAAAAAGUGGUAAGAAAUGUACGUUCUCUUUAGGAAAGCAGGAAAAGGAAGUAAAAUUGAAAGAGUGCCUGUGAAUGUUAAAAAGUUAACACAUUCUUGUCUCUUGGCCAGGUGUAUUAUCAGACAUUAUACUGAUUUGAAAUUCCAUCCCUCUUUCUCACAUAUCUCUGCUUUGAUGGCAGACAGGUCUUAUUGACCUGAGUGCAGCAGCAAGUAGAUGCAGCAACAGUACUUCCUACCCCAGGCACAGCAACCUGCACCUUUCUCUGGCUUAGGGGUUCUAUGGUCUUAAGUCUUUUAUAAACAGGCAACCCAAUCCUUUUCUCAUUGUUCCACUAAAUUUAAAAAAAUGUAAAAACCCUCAAACAAACAACUCAUACUGCAUUGCAACAAACCCUUCUUUCAAUUAGGAUUUAAACUGAGGAGGUUGUAUGAGAUCCAUAAUUGGCUUGGGCUUGGAAACCUUGGCUUCAUAGAAUCAUAGAAUCACAGAAUGGCCUGGGUUGAAAAGGACCACAAUGAUCAUUGAGUUUCAAUCCCCCUGC